UUUAUGGAGAGUUUGAUCCUGGCUCAGGAUGAACGCUGGCGGCGUGCCUAAUACAUGCAAGUCGAGCGAACAGAUAAGGAGCUUGCUCCUUUGACGUUAGCGGCGGACGGGUGAGUAACACGUGGGUAACCUACCUAUAAGACUGGAAUAACUCCGGGAAACCGGGGCUAAUGCCGGAUAACAUGUUGAACCGCAUGGUUCUACAGUGAAAGACGGUCUUGCUGUCACUUAUAGAUGGACCCGCGCCGUAUUA
Molecule: ribosomal RNA, 253 nt
Filed under: Staphylococcus pseudintermedius
Lineage: Bacteria; Bacillati; Bacillota; Bacilli; Caryophanales; Staphylococcaceae
Description: partial 16S ribosomal RNA
Rfam family: Bacterial small subunit ribosomal RNA
Source: RNAcentral